UCCGUAGGUGGAUAAUUAAGUCAGAGGUGAAAUCCUGCAGCUCAACUGUAGAAUUGCCUUUGAUACUGGUUAUCUUGAGUCAUUAUGAAGUGGUUAGAAUGUGUAGUGUAGCGGUGAAAUGCAUAGAUAUUACACAGAAUACCGAUUGCGAAGGCAGAUCACUAAUAAUGUACUGACACUGAGGAACGAAAGCGUGGGGAGCGAACAGGAUUAGAUACCCUGGUAGUCC
RNAcentral lists this ribosomal RNA (229 nucleotides) under uncultured bacterium. Its description in RNAcentral is "partial 16S ribosomal RNA". It matches the Rfam family "Bacterial small subunit ribosomal RNA", at positions 568 to 796 of the family's 1533-position model. The record is from RNAcentral.